AAACCUCAGAAAAAAAAAAAGUAAUUAUUUUUAAACAUUUCUAUAAAAAAAGAAAAAGACAUAAAACAUUAAAAAAAAAAUCAAACGAGACACCUUCAGUAGUAGAGAACAAAAAAGAAAGAAAGAAAAAGAAAAAUUUCUAACAAGAUGAAUGGACAUCUAAAAAAAAAACUACUAAAAAUAAAAUACCGCAAGGGAAAAAAAAUCUGAACUUCCUUAUCCAACCUCAAAAAUUAAUAACUAAUAUUCCUUUUGCAUCAGGAAUUUACAAAAAAAAUAUGAAUAAACCACCCUAUAACCCAAAAGAAAAAAAUUCAUAAAAUCCGAAACUUUAUGAUCUAAUCAUAAACAGUUUAAUACAGAACGAAUCUAUAGAUGUUGCAAUAUCUUAUAAUGAUUUAUGAUAAGCAAUAAAAAAUCAAACGCAUAAAGAUAUAGCUGAUUUUCGACGAAAACCAUUUAAGUAGACCAACAAAAAAGAAAACUAAUAAUAAGCACAACUUUUUUUCCAAAAAAAGACUUACUGUGAAAAGAUAAUAAGUCAAACAGGAAACAGCCUUAACCUAAAAUAACAGUUACAAACAAAUAAAAAUAAGAAUAAACUUUCAAACAAAAGUAGGCCUAGAAGCAGCCAUCUAAUAAUAAAAGCAUAAACGCUCAUUAAAAAAAAACCUUAACAAAUUACUAAUAAAAAAAACUAAUAUUUAGAUAAAUAGUCGAACAUUCGCCAUCCGCGAACAGAUAAUGUAAAUACAAGUAACAAUUAAUAAAACAACCCCAAACAAACAAUAAAACGGAAAAACCGUUUUUAAUUCUACACAGAUAGGAAUCAAUUAAUAAAAACUCUUUUAAGGAACUCGGCAAACAGAAUUUCGACUGUUUACCAAAAACAUAGCCAACAGAAAAAAUUAAUGUCAGUGAAACCUGCUCCAUGAUUCUAUAAAUAAAAGCCCAAAAACUAUUAAAAAAAAUUAAAUAGCUGCGGUAACCGUGACCGUACUAAGGUAGCAUAAUAAAUCGUCUAUUAAUUGUAGAAUAGAAUGAAGGUCAAACGAAAAUUCAACUGUCUCAAAAAACACUUGUGAAAAUAAAAAGUGUGUGAAUAUACACACACAAACGGCAAGACGAUAAGACCCUACGAACUUUACUGAAAAUUUACAUUCUCUUCAUAAAUAAACACAAUAUAACCAAAUAUAAAUAAUACGUUUCGUUGGGGCAACGACCUUAAAAAAGUAACUAAGGUUUAAAAAAUCACAUUUAAUAAAAAAAUAAUAAAUUAAAAUUAAAUAAAAAAGAUAAAACCCAUUAAACACAUCCAAAAAAUUAAUGCAAUAAAAUAAAAGUUCCGUAGGGAUAACAGCGUAAUAAUAUUUCAAGAAAAACAACCUUAAAUAAAGAUUGCGACCUCGAUGUUGAAUUGUUGUAUCCCGAAACUAAACACAUUCAAAGGUUGGACUGUCCUUCCAUUAAAACAACCCAUGAUUUGAGUUCAGACCGAGGCAACUCAGGUCAGAUUCUAUCUACCGUUCCAAAAUCACAUUAAAGAAUAUUAGUACGAAAGGAAAAAAUUCUAUUAUCCUCUAAAAAAAGAUAAAACCUCUAAGAAAUCGAACCAAUAAUGCGAUU
This 1626-nucleotide ribosomal RNA is filed under the name Tabachnickia sp. DVL-2014. RNAcentral describes it as "large subunit ribosomal RNA". The stretch from base 1095 to 1530 matches the Rfam family "Bacterial large subunit ribosomal RNA", at positions 2049 to 2651 of the family's 2925-position model. The record is from RNAcentral. Lineage: Eukaryota; Metazoa; Porifera; Hexactinellida; Amphidiscosida; Hyalonematidae.